AGCAUUGAAGUACCAGUUGCCAUAUAAUCAACAAUGUUAAGCAAUAUCAAGCCUGGUCAGUACCUAGAUGGGUGACCACUUGGGAAUACCAGGUGCUGCAAGC
This is a non-coding RNA of Acanthosepion pharaonis, 103 nucleotides long. The record is from the annotation of a GenBank genome assembly. NCBI's taxonomy places the organism in Eukaryota, Metazoa, Mollusca, Cephalopoda, Sepiida, Sepiidae.